RNAcentral lists this ribosomal RNA (253 nucleotides) under uncultured prokaryote. RNAcentral's name for it is "partial 16S ribosomal RNA". It matches the Rfam family "Bacterial small subunit ribosomal RNA", at positions 525 to 777 of the family's 1533-position model. The record is from RNAcentral.
ACGUAGGGGGCAAGCGUUGUCCGGAUUUACUGGGCGUAAAGCGCGCGUAGGCGGAUGUUUAAGUGUGGCCUGAAAGCCCCCGGCUCAACCGGGGAGGGUGGCUGCAAACUGGGCAUCUUGAGGGGGAUAGAGGAGAGUGGAAUUCCGGGUGUAGCGGUGAAAUGCGUAGAGAUCCGGAGGAACACCAGUGGCGAAGGCGGCACACUAGGACCAACCUGACGCUGAGGCGCGAAAGCAUGGGUAGCGAACGGGA